RNAcentral lists this long non-coding RNA (1588 nucleotides) under Salmo salar (Atlantic salmon). RNAcentral describes it as "lncRNA (ENSSSAG00000082592.1)". Lineage: Eukaryota; Metazoa; Chordata; Actinopteri; Salmoniformes; Salmonidae. The record is from RNAcentral.
CAGAGACGCACAGAGACGCACAGAGAGACACAGAGACGCACAGAGACACACACAGAGAGACACAGACACACAGAGACACAGAGACGCACAGAGACACAGAGACGCACAGAGACACACAGAGACACAGAGACACAGAGACACACACAGAGAGACACAGACACACAGAGACACAGAGACGCACAGAGACACAGAGACGCACAGAGACACACAGAGACACAGAGACACAGAGACACACAGAGACGCACAGAGACGCACAGAGACGCACAGAGACACACAGAGACACACAGAGACACACAGACACACAGAGACACACAGACACACAGAGACACACAGAGACACACAGAGACACAGAGACACAGAGACACAGAGACACACAGAGACACACAGAGACACACAGAGACACACAGAGACACAGAGACACAGAGACACACAGAGACACACAGAGACACACAGAGACACAGAGACACACAGAGACACACAGAGACACAGACACACAGAGACACACAGAGACACACACAGAGACACAGAGACACAGAGACACAGAGACACACACAGAGACACAGAGACACAGACACACAGAGACACAGAGACACACAGAGACACACACAGAGACACAGAGACGCACAGAGACACACAGAGACACACACACAGAGACACACACAGAGACACACAGAGACGCACAGAGACACACAGAGACACAGACACACAGAGACACACACAGAGACACAGAGACACACAGAGACACACACAGAGACACAGAGACACAGAGACACAGAGACACACAGAGACACACAGAGACACACAGAGACACACAGAGACACACAGAGACGCACAGAGACACACAGAGACACAGACACACAGAGACACAGACACACAGAGACACACAGAGACAGAGACACACAGAGACACACAGAGACACACAGAGACACACAGAGACACACAGAGACACACAGAGACACACAGAGAGGCACCGUAGUUAAUCUACAACCCCAGCCUGAAGGGGAAACCAGCACUACUAAAGAUCAAUAUGUCCACACUCAUCUACCCCCUUAUCAACAGUCAUCUGAACACUAUCAAUACUGUCAAUAAUUCAUCUAUUGUGUCAUUUCAUUAUGAUUCAUGACAUUACAAGGCUGUGCUCCAUGCCUGGUUCACACAUUCAACUGUAAAAAGGCACAAUCUGUAGUUGAAUUAAUUUUUUAAGUACUGAAUAGGCAGGACUGAGCUGUACUCUGACUGGCUGAAAUGGAACUGUUUGUUCCAUGUGUUUUGUUUGAGAAGUUACAGAUAUCCCCUUUCAAAUGUAUCUCCAAGCUUCCCUACUGACACCAGUAUCAAACUAGAUUGUCCAAGGUAUUGAGCUUCCCUACUGACACCAGUAUCAAACUAGAUUGUCCAAGGUAUUGAGCUUCCCUACUGACACCAGUAUCAAACUAGAUUGUCCAAGGUAUUGAGCUUCCCUACUGACACCAGUAUCAAACUAGAUUGUUUCCUCUCCAGAUCCUGACUACUUUGAACAGGAAAUGUUUAAUAAUACAUUCCUGAACCUGACAGACUAUGAAUUACAAGGAGAACAGGUGGAACAGAC